GAUAGGGUAGCCUAGUGGACAUGGCAUCUGCCCGGUAAGCGGAACACUGCGGGUUCGAUUCCCAUCCCUGGACA
Molecule: transfer RNA, 74 nt
Filed under: Cordylochernes scorpioides
Lineage: Eukaryota; Metazoa; Arthropoda; Arachnida; Pseudoscorpiones; Chernetidae
Description: tRNA-Thr
Rfam family: tRNA (bases 4-69)
About the family: Transfer RNA (tRNA) molecules are approximately 80 nucleotides in length. Their secondary structure includes four short double-helical elements and three loops (D, anti-codon, and T loops).
Source: RNAcentral